AAGUCGUAACAAGGUUUCCGUAGGUGAACCUGCGGAAGGAUCAUUACCGAGAUAGGGUUCUUCGGAGCCCGACCUCCAACCCAAUGUCUACCAUACCUCUGUUGCCUCGGCGGGCCUGCGGCGUUCACGCACCCUUAGGCCCCUAACGAGGGCUUUCGAGCGCCCGCCGAUGGGAUCAUACAAACUCUUUUUUUGAAUCAGUAUUCUGAGUGAGAAAUCAAUAGCGUUAAAA
This 232-nucleotide unclassified non-coding RNA is filed under the name plant metagenome. RNAcentral's name for it is "partial contains small subunit ribosomal RNA and internal transcribed spacer 1". The stretch from base 1 to 46 matches the Rfam family "Eukaryotic small subunit ribosomal RNA", at positions 1786 to 1831 of the family's 1831-position model. The record is from RNAcentral.